This 67-nucleotide transfer RNA is filed under the name Cerambycidae sp. 6 KM-2017. RNAcentral describes it as "tRNA-Trp". It matches the Rfam family "tRNA". From Rfam's summary of the family: Transfer RNA (tRNA) molecules are approximately 80 nucleotides in length. The record is from RNAcentral. Lineage: Eukaryota; Metazoa; Arthropoda; Insecta; Coleoptera; Cerambycidae.
AAGGAUUUAAGUUAAGCUUAAACUAUUAGCCUUCAAAGUUAAAAAUAGAAAUAAAUUCUAAGCCUUA